Molecule: long non-coding RNA, 1893 nt
Organism: Dreissena polymorpha
Lineage: Eukaryota; Metazoa; Mollusca; Bivalvia; Myida; Dreissenidae
Exons: 3
Source: RefSeq, a predicted model, not a curated record
GCGGGCGGAAGGCAUCACUUUGUCCGGACUCUAAUUCAAAUUGUAUUCAUCCGAUCUUCACCAAACUUGGUCAGCAGUUGCAUCUAGUUGAUAUCUAGGCCAAGUUCGAAUAUGGGUCAUGCCGGGUCAAAAACUAGGUCAUAGGGUCAAUAAGUGCAUUUUCAAAGGGGCCACUUUGUCCGGACUCUAUUUCAAAUUGUAUUCAUCCGAUCUUCACCAAACUUGGUCAGCAGUUGCAUCUAGUUGAUAUAUAGGCCAAGUUCGAAUAUGGGUCAUGCCGGGUCAAAAACUAGGUCAUAGGGUCAAUUAGUGCAUUUUCAACGGCGCCACUUUGUCCGGACUCUAAUUCAAAUUGUAUUCAUCCGAUCUUCACCAAACUUGGUCAGUAGUUGCAUCUAGUUGAUAUCUAGGUCAAGUCCGAAUAUGGGUCAUGCUGGGUCAAAAACUAGGUCAAAGGGUCAAUUAGUGCAUUUUACUUUGUCCGGACUCUAAUUCAAAUUGUAUAAAUCUUAUCUUCACCAAACUUGGUCAGUAGUUGCAUCUAGUUGAUAUCUAGGCCAAGUUCGAAUAUGGGUCAUGCCAGGUAAAAAACUAGGUCAUAGGGUCAAUAAGUGCAUUUUCAAAGGGGCCACUUUGUCCGGACUCUAUUUCAAAUUGUAUUCAUCCGAUCUUCACCAAACUUGGUCAGCAGUUGCAUCUAGUUGAUAUAUAGGCCAAGUUCGAAUAUGGGUCAUGCCGGGUCAAAAACUAGGUCAUAGGGUCAAUUAGUGCAUUUUCAACGGCGCCACUUUGUCCGGACUCUAAUUCAAAUUGUAUUCAUCCGAUCUUCACCAAACUUGGUCAGUAGUUGCAUCUAGUUGAUAUCUAGGUCAAGUCCGAAUAUGGGUCAUGCUGGGUCAAAAACUAGGUCAAAGGGUCAAUUAGUGCAUUUUACUUUGUCCGGACUCUAAUUCAAAUUGUAUAAAUCUUAUCUUCACCAAACUUGGUCAGUAGUUGCAUCUAGUUGAUAUCUAGGCCAAGUUCGAAUAUGGGUCAUGCCAGGUAAAAAACUAGGUCAUAGGGUCAAUAAGUGCAUUUUCAAAGGGGCCACUUUGUCCGGACUCUAUUUCAAAUUGUAUUCAUCCGAUCUUCACCAAACUUGGUCAGCAGUUGCAUCUAGUUGAUAUAUAGGCCAAGUUCGAAUAUGGGUCAUGCCGGGUCAAAAACUAGGUCAUAGGGUCAAUUAGUGCAUUUUCAACGGCGCCACUUUGUCCGGACUCUAAUUCAAAUUGUAUUCAUCCGAUCUUCACCAAACUUGGUCAGAAGUUGUAUCUAGACAAUAUCUAGGUCAAGUUCGAAUAUGGGUCAUGCUGGGUCAAAAACUAGGUCACAGGGUCACUUAGUGCAUUUCAAGCAUUUAGCAUGGUGUCCACUCUCUAAUUGAAGUAGUUUUCAUCCAAUCUUCACCAAACUUGGUCAGAAGUUGUAUCUAGACAGUAUUUAGGUCAAGUUGGAAUAUGGGUCAUUCCAGGUCAAAAACUAGGUCACAGGGUCACUUAAACCAUUUCAAGCAUUUAGCAAGUGCUCUCUAAUUGAAGUAGUUUUCAUCCGAUCUUCACCAACUUUGGUCAGAAGUUGUGUCUAGACAAUAUCUACAUGUAGGUCAAGUUCAAAUAUGGGUCUUGCCAGGUUAAAAACUAGGUCACGAGGUCCCGUAGUGCAUUUCAAGCAUUUAGCAUGGUGUCUGCUCUCUAAUUGAAGUAGUUUUCAUCAGAUCUUCACCAACUUUGGUCAGAAGUUGUGUCUAGAUGAUAUGUAGGUCAAGUUCAAAUAUGGGUCAUGGUAAAGUUAUCAAGUUGUCCAAAGUCUUAAAACGGGCGUAUCUUGUGACAGUUUGGCACUCUUGUUUAAGAG